GCCAAAAAAAACCAUCGGAUCGAGCCCACAGCAGAUCGUUCUCCGCCCCCAACCUGCCCUCCGCACGCCCGAUCCACCCCGUCGCCCCCUCGGCGGCCGAUCCAUCCCUGUGCCUCGGCCGAUCCAAUCCUUCGCCCUCUCGUGCGCUAGGGUUCCUUGAGUCGCCGCCGCACCGGAGCUCCUCGCCCAGCCCCACCUCCUGCCGCUCCACCCACUGCUUCUCCCUCCGCUCGCUGCACUUGCCCUCUCCGCCGCGCCCGCCUUCCCCGAUGGUCGCCCCCUUCCCCGUCGAUCCCGGAGAAUCGGCGCCUUGAGGUUGGGGAACUCGGCAGCCAUGAUCUGAAGGACGUAGGGAAGCCGCCCCCCCUCGCCGGAUACAACCUAGGUUAUUGAGGUGCUACGGGGCUAGAAGCUCAACCAACGAUAGCAGGACGUCCGACCGAUCUGGGCCAGCGUGGAAGGAGAACUCAGCGGCGGCUCGUCCAGCUGUUCUGGGAUAUUUUGGUGAACUCUCCAUAAUGCUGCGCGUAUAGGUGUGUACUAUCCUGACCGCUCACUCCCCUGGGAUCCGAUAAUAAGUUCACAUAGAGUUCGGCCGGCGGUGGCAGCGCCGCCAAUAGUCGUGCGAUUAAGGCUGCACAAUCAGCAGAUUAGAAGACUGAUUUAGCGCUAGGAUCCAUCGCCAUUGGAGGGACUUGACUUCUUUUCAUUCCUUGCGAGAACGGUUCUUGCCAUGAACGACGGGGCUCUCUCUGUGGCCCUGGUCUAAAAGCAAAAAUAGUGAACAAGAUGUGUCUUGCCGUUUGCAGUAUUGGGUACGUACCUUUUGCACUUGCUCCCUAAAGAAACAAUCAGAUAGAUUAACUACAACCCAAAAGCAGCAGCCUGUUACUAUUUUAUAUCAUCUAUUGAUGAUUUGUUUUUUCAGAAUUGCAUUGGCAAGUGAUGAAAAGGUGUAAUGUUCACGGAUUUUUGUUGGGUGAUCUGUUGGUCCGGUUUAAUUUUAGCAGGCAUCUGGGUAUUGUUUAUGAAUUGAUGGCGCACCUUGCUUAAAUCCUACUAACAAUCUUCUCAACACGUGUCAUUGCUUUUUGUUAGAUGCAUUUAACACAUUUAGGAAGGACGUUUCAAGGGCCUCUUUCUCGAUCUGGAGCCCACUGUUAGUAGAUUAUGGCAGGCUGCUCAAAAUAUGUCAUGUUGUUGAAACUUUUUUGUAUUUGCAAUGAUAUUGGUGUUGGACCAUUAGAGUAUAUAUGCCCCGUUGAACGUGGGGGGGUUGGCGAAGGGCGUGUCUGCGGCCGACCUGGAGGUCGUGUUCGGCUCCAUCGGCUGCGUCGCCGGCGUUGAGUUCGUGCGCACCAGCGGCUGUAGCUUCGCCUAUAUCGACUUCCACUGCCUCUCCCACGAGGUCAUGACCAAGUUGUUCUCCACCCUGCUAUGGGUUCUCAUGGUUCCCCUGUCUCGAUUUAUUGGAAUGGCGAUUCGAGAAGGAACAUCAUCUUGUGGAUGGACCAUAGGGCUCUUGACCAAGCCGAGCGAAUUAAUUCUCACAAUUCACCGAUAUUGCAAUUUAAUGGUGGGAGUGUCUCCCCAGAAAUGCAAGCUCCAAAGGUAACCGCUUUUUUCUCCAUGCAUAUGAUUCUCGUAAAUUCCUGAUUCAUUAUUUGUAAAAACCACUAAUGAUGUUGUUGGGCAUCUGAACCAUUGUGUUGAUUGCCAUCUUGUGAGUUAUCACUUCACAAUCCUAGAGGAUAUGGAUAAAUAGUUUUGAAUUAUUUUGUAGUGAGAAGGUCGGUAUACAAGGUUUUAUGGGUAAAGGUAAAUCUGCAAAAAUCUUGGUCUAUGGUAUAUAGAUCAGGUUAUAUUUCCUUGGUAGCAUGGCAGCAGCACCCAAUCAGACCACAACCUCGGCGGGUGUGCUCUGCAAUCUUGGCCACCGUCGGCAGGUACGACCUCCGCCGCCACUGAAAGCUACCCCUCCUCAUCACCAUCAACGCCGGUGAGCUCUCCCUCUGCUCUCGCCGCUACCCAGUUCCAUCCACUAUCUUCCACAAUAUUGUUGCGACUUUGUAAUGACUAGCCCAAUGUUCUUUAAUGCUGUUAUGUAUUUUUGUGAGUCGAUGAUUUUCUUUCAAAUCUACAAAUGGACACGUUUGUCUAACCAUUAUGUAAAAGGCUGGAAUCCAUAAUAUGUGAAAUUCCGACACAGUUGCAUGAAAAAGUGAGUAUUGAGUAGGGAUGUAAUUCUCGCCGAUUCAAAUAUCAGAAUGUGUUCCAGAGACAUAACAAAACCAUCCUGAAUCUUACGUUUUUAGCAUGCUGAGAUCUGCGCUACCGUAUAUACUUCUAAAUUACAUGGUAGAGAUUUUGAAUAUGGGCACCUGAUCUUUUAUCUUAUAAUAUAUCAGAUGUUCCUGGUCAGCAUCAAGGAAUUGUUUUGAGACUUGUAUCCAUUUUUCCCUGGUAAAAUCGAUGACCGUCCGUGUUGGUGACCUAUUGAUCUUUUAAUUUCUAUAUUCGCAAAAAAAAGAUCUUCUAAUUUAUAAAGAUGUCUCUGACUUGUUCACAUGCCAAUAAAUAUAAGCUGCAUCAAGUGAGCUUUCCUGUCAAUAAGUAGCGACACUUGUAGAGGCGACUUGGAUCAGGGAGCAUAUGGAGCGACACUUGCAGAGGCGAUGUCAGCGGCUGUCGAGUGCUGACCCGCCCGUUGGCUACCUCUGAGAGUGGCACAUGGUACUGAAUCAACGCCAAUUCCCUCGCCAUGCCCCUUCACUGGUAAUGACCCAGGCUCCACUCAUCUCUGCUCCACUAGAUGCACUUUCCUCCCUUAGGCUUUCAUUUUUUUAGAGCUGCACUUUCUCCGCCUCGUUAAGCAAGUGAUAUACAAAGUGGAGCAAGAAUUAACACCAUGGAAGAGGAGGAAUACAACGUUUUGUGGUACGUGACAUAUCCGAUGAAAUGUAGUGCAGCCAGGUACUACGUAUUUUAAAUUUUGCAUGAGGGCCGCCGCCCACAUACCACGUCCCCGAUCCUCGCGAGAGGUAUCACUCCUAUCCCCUCGCCGUCUCACCUUCCUCCUGCGCAUUACUUUUUUUUGGCUCACUUGCAGUUGUUUUGGUUCAUCAUUGGUCUAAAAAAAGUACUACAUUGUUACUGAUGAGAAAACUUCUGUGAUAUUGUGAGGCGAAGUAUUUAACUAGUAAGUGUCUGAUGCCCUGAUGUCUUACUUUAAAUCCAUGUUACACGCAGUAGUAGGACUUCAUAAUAGGAUGGGAGCAACCUGCAUCUUUGGAAUGUACUGAACUAAUUUGAUGAAAAAUAACUAUGUACUUUUGAACUGAAUACGCUACAGCAACUGUCGUCAGCAUUGACUACGCCACUGUCAAAUGCAUGUUUGUUUAUUCAUAAUGAUUUCUUAAUCCCUUUAGUUAGAAGAAUCAAAAGCAGUUAAGCACCUAAGCUCGUAAUUCUGCAUUUUUCAUUGUAGUCCCUUUUUUAUCAGAUUGCGCAAUGUCAAUGGUCUCUGUACUCUGAAGAGUCAAGAGUACAUUGUUACUAACUAACAAGGCUCUGUUAUGCACUUAUGCUUCGAGGCGAAGAAGUAUUUACCUAUUGAGUUGUUGAUCAUUUAUUUUGACUUAGACUCUACAUGCAACCAUUUCAUACCAUUUAGCUGCAUUAACUUGGGCAUAAUAUAGCAUCUUCCGUUCAAUUUUCUUUUCCUGUUUUUUGCGAGCUUUAAAACCUUGAGAUACUCAUCGGUGCAUAUCUGAAAAUUCAGGUACUACACAAAGUGGAAUUUGCGCCGGUGUCAAGAGAACAAGUACAGGUUCCUCAUGUCAUGCCUAUAAGUUUCACUCCAAAUAAUAAAGUGUCCUCAAGGGUCGUACUAAAAAAAGAACUACAUCAGCAAGUUGAUUCAAUAAUCCAUCCUCUGUUUUGCCCCUCGUUGGUUAGUUAUUCAGUUAUGGGCCGGGGUGGGAGUGGGAGUAUUGAUGGCUGUUUGUUCUUCACAAAGUUUUGGGUGAAAGAGCAAAUUGGCAGCAAUUAGUGAGAUCCUACUGGUGGUGGUUUGCGAGUACACGUGAAUAGGAAAUCAGAUGAGAUCAAAUCUCAUGAUUCCAUCUCGUCCCGGUCCUCGGCGGACGGGGUGUCAGGGUGAGUUGUUCGUUUGUUCGGCCCUCAUUUCGUGGUGUUCAUGAAAUGUGCAACACAUGUACCAUGAAGGGGGUUAUUUAGUUUCAUUUUCUCGAAAUAUACCAUACUCUCUCCAUAUCAAAAUAUAUUCUAAAAUAUAAGGCAUUUUUUAUUGUUCAUAAAUCUCUCAUAAAAUAUUUAGUCCAUGGUUACAAAUCAUAAUAUACGAAAGUGAGUUUGAAUAUGGAUAUAAGAGUGUCUAUUUUAUGUACUUUAAAUUAUGCUUUAUUUGACUAAUUAUAGGUCAAAGAUUAUUAACAGCGACUAACACAAAUACUGGCAUUGCACUACGUGCAUAUCAACAUUUAAAAAAUAUUAAGUGCUAAUGUACAUUAUUAUGAUUCUUAACAGAGGAAUGAGUGUGAAGCUCAAGACCCCAUUUAAUGGAGCCGUCUAUGAUGCAUGCGAUGAGGUCUUAUUAUUGAUGAUGCCAUGUACUACAUUUUGUUUGCAUAAUCCAUCACCUAGCAUGUAUUUGUUAUAACCGAGCACCGCAACGAAUCUGUUAUUUACCUUAGGAGGGUAAGAAAAAACACAAUCAAUGAUAUUAUACAUAAUUCUAGACAUUGUUUUAGAGUAUGUUCUGAAGUAUAUUUUUCUUUCAGUAAAUGUUGGAAAUGUCUAUGUACUUUUUUCUCCCAAUAUGUUAUGGUCAUCUUCCUGCUAUGCAUGUAAAUUUCAUGGCCAGCUUAGCAGCUGGUGGUUGGUGAUCCUUUCUACUUCCUCGCCGGCUCGAUAAAUCUCCCGGUUUCCUUCUCCUACCACUCUUCCUCCCUUGUGCUCUGUAACUUGGCCAUUGAUGUGGAUGUUAGUAAUUAGAUGGUGAUAUUUGUUUUAUAGAAAUACUUAUUUUUUUGCGGGUGUUUAGAAAUACUUGUUAGUUGCACAGAUGGAUCCUGCAAGGAAUAAUUUUACAAUGGAAAUGCAUAUCUAUUGAAUUGAUGACUAAACAAGUUUGCGGGCACAUCUAUGAAAAUACAGGCAAAUACAGACAUAGGUUUAAGGGUUCUCAUUCAUUUAAAUCUCAAUGUUGAGAGAAGCCGAUCUCUGGAUAUGAGUAUUUUCUUCCCUGUUUGUGUGAUUGUUUAAUUGAAUGGAUAACUGUGUCUCCUGAAUAUUGUUCCAUGUAAUUGUUUUAAAUCUACCGAAUUAGUUAUCUAAAUCAGUUGAUAUUUUGCAAAGCUUCAAGCUUUAGUUUUUGCACUUCAUGACAUCAAUUGUUUGUGCAGAUUCAAGAUUUAUUUCUGUACAUAGCAGUGAUUAGUGGAUUACUGUCACACGCUCCUGUUGUCAUCCAUGUCUCCUCAGGUGCCUUAGGUUUGUGAUGCGAAAGUUGUCUUACAUAUGUAAAUUGUUCUGUUUUUCUUUCGCCAAAACAUUAAUAAGCCCACGAUACAUUUUGCUUCUUUUUUAUCUGAUGUCCAUUUGUAGACUAAGUGCUUUAUUUAUGAUAGUGAAUUUCUGGCGUACAUGUGAAUAUCUCAUGUAUAUACAAUCAGUACACUCACCUGAACGAGGAUGGCGGCGAGCAGAGCGGGGUUGCGUCUUGUCCUUCUUGCGUUGAAGGUCCGGUGCACCCAUGGGUGUGCCUUUGCUGGUUUCUGACUGUCACAAAGAAGUCGGAGCUGCGGACGGCGAGGCGACUGCGGCAACGAUGACUCUAUGAGGACAGUUUUCAGCAAGCGGUGCUCCCCGAAUGUUGCGUUGAACUACGUCGUUGCGUGGCUUGCAACCUUCUCCUAUGAAGCCCGUAUGCAAAAUUGAAACUGUCAUGUCCUAGGUGUUGUGCUCGACUAUUCAUUGUUGCUCUGUGGCUCCUUGCUUCCUCUCCACAGUUAUAUCGUUUUUUGUGAUGUAAUCUUGUUAGUAGUCGGGUCAUCCACGCGUGCCACUUCUGAAGUUUGUAGUCUAGGUUAGAUACAUCCGUAUGUAGACAAAUUGAAGACAAGUAAUAUGGAUAGGGGGGAGUAUAUUAUUUGACUCAAGCACUCACAACCAACGCACUACACUCAUUCACGUGAAAAACAAUCGUAUUUUGAUCAAUAUCCCUAUGUAAGUUUGUUGUUCCGAGGCAAUCACGUAUGAAUUGAA
Molecule: RNA transcript, 6288 nt
Organism: Triticum aestivum (bread wheat)
Lineage: Eukaryota; Viridiplantae; Streptophyta; Magnoliopsida; Poales; Poaceae
Exons: 6
Source: RefSeq, a predicted model, not a curated record